This 259-nucleotide ribosomal RNA is filed under the name uncultured prokaryote. Its description in RNAcentral is "partial 16S ribosomal RNA". It matches the Rfam family "Bacterial small subunit ribosomal RNA", at positions 524 to 782 of the family's 1533-position model. The record is from RNAcentral.
UACGGAGGAUGCGAGCGUUAUCCGGAUUUAUUGGGUUUAAAGGGUGCGUAGGCGGCCUUGUAAGUCAGCGGUGAAAUUUUGCAGCUUAACUGUAAAAGUGCCGUUGAUACUGUGAGGCUAGGAUUUGGUUGCUGUGGGUGGAAUGUGUAGUGUAGCGGUGAAAUGCAUAGAUAUUACACAGAACACCGAUUGCGAAGGCAUCUCACAAAGCCGUUAUUGACGCUGAGGCACGAAAGUGUGGGGAUCAAACAGGAUUAGA